This 253-nucleotide ribosomal RNA is filed under the name uncultured bacterium. RNAcentral's name for it is "partial 16S ribosomal RNA". It matches the Rfam family "Bacterial small subunit ribosomal RNA", at positions 524 to 776 of the family's 1533-position model. The record is from RNAcentral.
UACGUAGGGUGCGAGCGUUGUCCGGAAUUACUGGGCGUAAAGAGCUCGUAGGUGGUUUGUCGCGUUGUUCGUGAAAACUCACAGCUUAACUGUGGGCGUGCGGGCGAUACGGGCAGACUUGAGUACUGCAGGGGAGACUGGAAUUCCUGGUGUAGCGGUGAAAUGCGCAGAUAUCAGGAGGAACACCGGUGGCGAAGGCGGCCUUCUGGACAGUGACUGACGCUGAGACGCGAAAGCGUGGGGAGCAAACAGG